CAGCAACUUCCAACGAGGCGAGACAACAGACAGGCACAGCGGACACUGCCCGUUCCCCCUCCGUGUGACGAACCAUCAGGUGGAGAAAUAUGUGAUCAGACCCCAAGAGCUGGAGUGACUCCUGUGAGCAUCAGAAGGCCACCCUCAUCACAAACAGGCUUUUGAAGACACUUCGUCCUGUCCCCUCGCAGAGAACCAGUACCCACCAUGGAAUCAACACAAGAAAUGAAAUUGGAAGAAAGGGCGAUACGGAACAACUGGAUGGAAGAGUUGGGCCAUAAAACCAAAAGCUGUGGAAGCCAACUUCAUGGUUAGGAAAGAACUGGAAAUGUGUGGGUGUGUGCUCAGGGCCUGAGGAAAAUUCCGGAAGUCCUGCAGAUGUUUUUUGUUAGGAGGCGUUGGAAGCCCCAAGGGCUGUAUCUUCUUGGGAAACAAGUCUAUUUAAGAAACGUA
Long non-coding RNA from Mesocricetus auratus (golden hamster), 453 nucleotides. RefSeq lists it as uncharacterized. The record is from RefSeq and is a predicted model, not a curated record. Lineage: Eukaryota; Metazoa; Chordata; Mammalia; Rodentia; Cricetidae. The transcript is spliced from 2 exons.